Molecule: non-coding RNA, 108 nt
Organism: Acanthosepion pharaonis
Lineage: Eukaryota; Metazoa; Mollusca; Cephalopoda; Sepiida; Sepiidae
Source: the annotation of a GenBank genome assembly
ACGACCGCAUCACUUUGAAACACCGGAUUCCGUAAGAUCACCUAAGUUGAGCAACGUCGAGUCUGGUCAGAACCUAGAUGGGUAACCGCUUGGGAAUACCAGGUGCCA